Molecule: ribosomal RNA, 497 nt
Filed under: uncultured bacterium
Lineage: Bacteria
Description: partial 16S ribosomal RNA
Rfam family: Bacterial small subunit ribosomal RNA
Source: RNAcentral
GAUGAACGCUGGCGGCGUGCCUAAUACAUGCAAGUCGAGCGAACGGACGAGAAGCUUGCUUCUCUGAUGUUAGCGGCGGACGGGUGAGUAACACGUGGAUAACCUACCUAUAAGACUGGGAUAACUUCGGGAAACCGUAGCUAAUACCGGAUAAUAUUUUGAACCGCAUGGUUCAAAAGUGAAAGACGGUCUUGCUGUCACUUAUAGAUGGAUCCGCGCUGCAUUAGCUAGUUGGUAAGGUAACGGCUCACCAAGGCAACGAUGCAUAGCCGACCUGAGAGGGUGAUAGGCCACACUGGAACUGAGACACGGUCCAGACUCCUACGGGAGGCAGCAGUAGGGAAUCUUCCGCAAUGGGCGAAAGCCUGACGGAGCAACGCCGAGUGAGUGAUGAAGGUCUUCGGAUCGUAAAACUCUGUUAUUAGGGAAGAACAUAUGUGUAAGUAACUGUGCACAUCUUGACGGUACCUAAUCAGAAAGCCACGGCUAACUACGUG